RNAcentral lists this long non-coding RNA (1023 nucleotides) under Homo sapiens (human). Its description in RNAcentral is "long non-coding RNA NONHSAT195460.1". The record is from RNAcentral. Lineage: Eukaryota; Metazoa; Chordata; Mammalia; Primates; Hominidae.
CUCGGAGCUGGCCUCGGACUGCUGGGGCGUUACCCCUUCGGCCACCCCCGCUGACCAUGGCAGUGUUUCAUGACGAGGUGGAAAUCGAGGACUUCCAAUAUGACGAGGACUCGGAGACGUAUUUCUAUCCCUGCCCAUGUGGAGAUAACUUCUCCAUCACCAAGAUUUGGAGAAUGGGGAAGACGUGGCAACGUGUCCUAGCUGCUCUCUCAUUAUAAAAGUGAUUUAUGACAAAGAUCAGUUUGUGUGUGGAGAAACAGUCCCAGCCCCUUCAGCCAACAAAGAAUUAGUUAAAUGCUGAAGAAGCCUUCAGGAAUCCAAAUCCUGAACAUUUGGAAUGAGCCCAGAUAGAAAUAUCGAAUGCAAAGCUACUGGCUUCACAGAGACAACCAUUUAUGAUUUGCUGUUCUGUAAGAGUGUGGAUUCUUUCUAUCAACUGCUGAUAUCAUCUUCAGGAAGCAAGUCCAUAACAUGACAUAUCUGGAUUUUGUGCUUAGAACCUUAAAUUGGAAGCAUUCUUAAUUAUGCAUCUAAAUUUAAAAGAAGAUAAUUUCAAAACAGUGCUUUCUUUCCCUUGGUUUCAUCAUUUUCAUAUCUUAAACCAAAUUACUUCGGUAUCUGACAACAGCAUCAUCUACCUCAGUCAUUAGGAUUUCUUAAUAAAAAAGAGAUUGUAUUUUUGACUUGGUUAUUAAGAUUAUUAAAAUUAGCCCUUCCUUUGAAAUAUGACAUCAGCUUUGCUGUUCUAAAUUUAAAAUUAGUUGCUUCAUCAGUACCACACUUCCAGUUUCUAUACCAAGCCAGUCUCCUCAGUUUUCCCAUUAGAAUGGACAUGUUCUGUUCAGCGUGUCAUUUCUGUAAUGCUUCAUGCAGAGAGUUUGGUCAUAGUAUUAAAGAGAAAAUACAGUGAGGUCACAAUGUCUCCAGAGCUAAAAGUUAGUGAACAAGAAAGAAAGUCCAAAAUGAAGUGAUGAAAGAAUGAGGACUUUUCUUAUAUUCUGCAUAUUCCUUGGAAGUCAGGAC